AACAUACUCCCUCCGUUCGGAAUUACUUGUCUUGAAAAUGGAUGUAUCUAGAACUAAAAUACAUCUAGAUACAUCCAUUUCUACGACAAGUAAUUCCGAACGGAGGGAGUAGUAC
Non-coding RNA from Triticum aestivum (bread wheat), 115 nucleotides. Lineage: Eukaryota; Viridiplantae; Streptophyta; Magnoliopsida; Poales; Poaceae. The record is from Rfam.